Molecule: ribosomal RNA, 497 nt
Filed under: uncultured bacterium
Lineage: Bacteria
Description: partial 16S ribosomal RNA
Rfam family: Bacterial small subunit ribosomal RNA
Source: RNAcentral
GAUGAACGCUGGCGGCGUGCCUAAUACAUGCAAGUCGAGCGAACAGAUAAGGAGCUUGCUCCUUUGACGUUAGCGGCGGACGGGUGAGUAACACGUGGGUAACCUACCUAUAAGACUGGAAUAACUCCGGGAAACCGGGGCUAAUGCCGGAUAACAUUUAGAACCGCAUGGUUCUAAAGUGAAAGAUGGUUUUGCUAUCACUUAUAGAUGGACCCGCGCCGUAUUAGCUAGUUGGUAAGGUAACGGCUUACCAAGGCGACGAUACGUAGCCGACCUGAGAGGGUGAUCGGCCACACUGGAACUGAGACACGGUCCAGACUCCUACGGGAGGCAGCAGUAGGGAAUCUUCCGCAAUGGGCGAAAGCCUGACGGAGCAACGCCGCGUGAGUGAUGAAGGUCUUCGGAUCGUAAAACUCUGUUAUUAGGGAAGAACAAAUGUGUAAGUAACUGUGCACGUCUUGACGGUACCUAAUCAGAAAGCCACGGCUAACUACGUG